AAUGAACGCUGGCGGCAGGCCUAACACAUGCAAGUCGAACGGAUCCUUCGGGAUUAGUGGCGGACGGGUGAGUAACGCGUGGGAACAUACCCUUUGGUACGGAAUAGCCUCGGGAAACUGGGAGUAAUACCGUAUGUGGUCGAGAGACGAAAGAUUUAUCGCCAAAGGAUUGGCCCGCGUUGGAUUAGGUAGUUGGUGGGGUAAUGGCCUACCAAGCCGACGAUCCAUAGCUGGUUUGAGAGGAUGAUCAGCCACACUGGGACUGAGACACGGCCCAGACUCCUACGGGAGGCAGCAGUGGGGAAUCGUAGACAAUGGGGGAAACCCUGAUCUAGCCAUGCCGCGUGAUCGAUGAAGGCCUUAGGGUUGUAAAGAUCUUUCAGGUGGGAAGAUAAUGACUGUACCAACAGAAGAAGCCCCGGCUAACUCCGUGCCAGCCGCCGCGGUAA
This 449-nucleotide ribosomal RNA is filed under the name uncultured bacterium. RNAcentral describes it as "partial 16S ribosomal RNA". It matches the Rfam family "Bacterial small subunit ribosomal RNA", at positions 29 to 523 of the family's 1533-position model. The record is from RNAcentral.